RNAcentral lists this long non-coding RNA (1814 nucleotides) under Salvia miltiorrhiza (redroot sage). RNAcentral's name for it is "long non-coding RNA (SMIL_LNC005018)". Lineage: Eukaryota; Viridiplantae; Streptophyta; Magnoliopsida; Lamiales; Lamiaceae. The record is from RNAcentral.
UAUAUAUAUAUAUAUAGGAAAGGGAUCAAAAAAGAAAGCUAAAUGUAGGGAGAAUAAGGAAUCAAAUCCAGCCCUUCAUAAAUUUUAAUCAUACGGCUGAUUUUAAUUCCUACGGCUGAUUAUAUAUUCAAGCUAUAAAUCACUAAAAGGUUAGUUUUGUCAUUAUCUCAUUAACCCUACCGUAAAUAUCUAGCAAUAAUAUGGCAAAUCGUUUCUUUCCUUAAACUUAUCAAAACCUAAUACUUUCUGGUAUAGCUGUAGCGUUUUUUGUUGCAGAAAGAUGUCUAUCAUCGUCGCCUCCAUCAUCUGAAGUCUCCAUCAUUCCGGCGAACUAUAAAAGGGGUGUUCGGGUCGUGUAGUUUCCAUCAUUCCGGCGAACUUAGCAAAACCUAAUACUGUCCGCCUCCAUCAUCCAUCUGAAGUCUUCAUCUGACGUACCUGCGAAUGGAGUUUGGGUCGUGUAGUACAGGUUUGAGUCCGCCAUUUUUACUUUCGUUUGAACAUUUCGAAUGGAGAUAUCAUGUUUUAUAGCAUUAUAAUUUACAUUUUAUGUUGGAGAACAUUUAUAUAUAUGAGAUUUACAGUUAUACUAUUAGACAUGCAUGGUCAGAUUUCGAGUUUAAUUAAAGUGUAUGUUUUUUCAGUUUGUGGUUAGUUUUGUCAACGUUUAUUUAUAUUGUUUUAGGUGAAUCAACGACAAUUGAUGUAGAAGGUUGUGCCGAUCUUUUCAUCCCUGACUGUGAUGCUACGGAAUAACCAUUUGAGGGGCAGGUGUUCUGUAAUCUUCAACAAGCUGAGAAGUUCUAUGAGGAUUACGCAAAAGUUUGUGGUUUUAUUCCCCGUAAAGCAACCAUUAACAGAGAUGACGAUGGCUCCAUAAGUACUCGAUUUAUGCUUUGUAACAGAGAAGGUGUUCCCAACAAUGCAAAUUCGUUAAUUUUUGUCGAGGGUAACAGAGAUGAUAGGAAACGUAAGAGAACAUCAUUCAAGGUUGGUUGCAAGGCUCGUAUCAUAUUUAAGGCCAUAUCUUAUGGUCGUUUUAGGGUUGGAACCUUUAGUGAGGGAUAACCAUAAGAUGGUUUCUGAAACCAGUCGUCAUUUUAUGUCGAGCAAUAGGCAAGUUGAUGAAGUGCACCAGUUUCUUUUUCAAGCGGGUAUUAGAGCCAACAUUGGACCAACUAAAACAUUUCGCAUUUUUAAAGAGAUUGUUGGUGGUUAUGACAAGGUUGGUUGUACUAGUAUUGAUUUCAAGAACUAUGGUCGAGACUUGAAGGUCUAUGUCGCUGGUUCGGAUGCCCAUAUGUUGCUUGAAACAUUUAAGGAUAGGAAGGAGCUUUGUGAUCGUUUUCAAUAUUUUUACGACAUUGACGAGGAAAAUCAGCUGCGCCGCCUUUUCUGGACAGAUAAACAAGUUGUGAUUAACUUUAAAAAUUUUGGACAGGCUGUGUCUUUUGAUGCAACAUACAACACCAACAGGUUUAAGUUUUUUAUAUUAUUAUUCGGAUAUGUUUUUAUGGUAUUCAGUUCGUGUAUAUGCUUAUUCGUUAUGUCAUAACAUUUUUUUAAGUUUUAUGAUGGAUACAUUAGUUAUUUUAAAGUCAAUUAGCUAUAUCAUUUGUUCAUUUUUUCGGAACAUCAAUUAGUUAUUUUUAUUUGUUCUCAUUCAGUUCGGUUUGCAUAGUUGUUCAUAUAUAAAUCUACUUUAUUCAGUAUGAUAUUGUAGUCUGUUUGGCAAGUCUGAUGUUGGAUUUUAUGAUUCUUGUAGUUACAAAAUGAUUUUUACUCCAUUUACUGGUAGGGACAACCACGGCAAA